Molecule: ribosomal RNA, 407 nt
Filed under: uncultured bacterium
Lineage: Bacteria
Description: bacterial SSU rRNA
Rfam family: Bacterial small subunit ribosomal RNA
Source: RNAcentral
UGGGGGAUAUUGCGCAAUGGGGGGAACCCUGACGCAGCAACGCCGCGUGAAGGAAGAAGGCCUUCGGGUUGUAAACUUCUGUUCUUAGGGAAGAAGACAGUGACGGUACCUAAGGAGCAAGUCACGGCUAACUACGUGCCAGCAGCCGCGGUAAUACGUAGGUGACAAGCGUUGUCCGGAUUUACUGGGUGUAAAGGGCGUGUAGGCGGGAUAUCAAGUCAGCCGUGAAAUACCGGGGCUCAACUCCGGGGCUGCGGUUGAAACUGAUAUUCUUGAGUGUCGGAGAGGAAAGCGGAAUUCCUAGUGUAGCGGUGAAAUGCGUAGAUAUUAGGAGGAACACCAGUGGCGAAGGCGGCUUUCUGGACGAUAACUGACGCUGAGGCGCGAAAGUGUGGGGAGCAAACAGG